Molecule: long non-coding RNA, 7391 nt
Filed under: Homo sapiens (human)
Lineage: Eukaryota; Metazoa; Chordata; Mammalia; Primates; Hominidae
Description: HSALNT0285897
Source: RNAcentral
UUUUAGACGGAGUCUUGCUCUGUCGCCCAGGCUGGAGUGCAGUGGCACAAUCUCGGCUCACUGCAACCUCCGCCUCCCAGGUUCAAGCAAAUCUCCUGCCUCAGCCUCCUGUGUAGCUGGGAUUACAGGCACGCGCCACCACGCCCGGCUAAUUUUUUUUUUUUUUUUUUUUUUUGUAUUUUUAGUAGAGACAGGAUUUCACCAUGUUGGCCAGGGUGGUCUCAAUCUUCUGACCUCAUGAUCCACCCACCUUGGCUCCCAAAGUGCUGGGAUUACAGGCACGCGCCACCAUGCCCAGCUAAUUUUUGUUUUUUGUUUGGUUGGUUUUUGAGACGGAGUUUCGCUCUGUUGUCCAGGCUGGAAUGCAGUGGUGCGAUCUCAGCUCACUGCAAGCUCCGCCUCCCGGGUUCAUGCCACUCUCCUGCCUCAGCCUCCCGAGUAGCUGGGACUACAGGCGCCCACCACUGCGUCCGGUUAAUUUUUUGUAUUUUUAGUAUAGACGGGGUUUCACGUUAGCCAGGAUGGUCUCGAUCUCCUGACCUCGUGAUCCGCCCACCUUGGCCUCCCAAAGUACUGGGAUUACAGGCGUGAACCACCGUGCCCGGCCUUCCCCAGAUAUCUUCAAAGCAACUGCUAGUCCUGCUUUUGCACAUUACACUCUACAUUCUCAUUGCCCCACUUAACUAACCCUCCCUCAUGUCCUUUUCUAAAGAUGUAGAAGACUUUGAAAUAGCAUAACAUUUAAAUGGUCACAAAUCACCUGGCUUGAAAGUGACUAAUAAUAGGAAAAUCAGACCUCAGGACUGAGUUCAAUUUCAAGAUUCUCCCACUCCACUUUGCUAAGAGGGAAACAGAAAAACAUUACUCCAGCCACACAAAUAUGAUACUGUGCAAGUAUCCCACUCUUACUCAUUCAAAUCCUACCCAUUUUUUCCCAUCGUGGAACAGAGUCUUGCCAACUUAUACCUCUCUCCAAUAACCCAUAAAGAUGGUGAUUUGAAUUUGGGCCAAGAUUUAACAUUUUAUGAAAUACAAGAGGAGAGUUUUCUGCAAAACACAGGAUUUGCAGACAAGGAGACUUAGGUUCAAAUUCCAGUUCUGCCAUUUAUUACCUCAGAGAGGUCAUACAACUUUCCUGAAGUUGUAUGACCUCUCUGAGCCUUAGUCUCCUCGUUUGUAAAAUGAGAGUUAAAAUCUACCUCAUGGAAUCAUUGCUAAGAUUAAGCAAGAUAUAUAAGUAGAGCUUGUGCACAUGGUAGGUACUUGGAGAAUGUUAUUUCUCCUUCCCUCUUACUCAUCUGGACAAGUUUAACUAGAAUUCUAAACAGUUAAAUAUGUAUCAAUCCUUUGUAUUAAAUAUCUUGAUGGUAAAAUGUUAAAAUAUUGAUGUGAAUAACAGCUGGUAUUGAAUAUUCAAAUUAGGGGAACUCUUUCAUUGUUUUAAGAUAACAUCUGUACAUUUAAUCUGUGCCAUGCAAUAAAACAGCUUUUCCUGAAACAGCUUUUUAAAAACUAUUUUUAAGAAAUUCAUAAGUUACUUUUAAGAACAUUAGCUUAGAACAUCUUCCCCUUUCACAACAAAUUAGACAUUAGAGCCAAAAUUGCCCAAAUUGGUAUAGUUUCUAUCUCCCUACACUUUAAUCAAGAUGUUUGUCUUUAUAUCAGCAAAAACCGCUACUUAAGUGAGAUUCCUGCAUCCCAAUAAAUGUAUCUGGGCAUUUGGUACUUGAGAGAGGAUUGGGUUUGACAACACCCAGAAGCUAAUGAGGAUGUGCCUUCUCUCAGACCUUUGCAUUCAGGAGCAAGAAAGCAGAAAUACUUUGUGGACUCCUUUUCAGACACUUUACAAAAUACAAAAUUUUAACCUUGUGAAACACAAAAUAAAUGCAGGAUAAAUGUCCAAACAUUUUAGCCCCUACUGUUUUUGAAACUGAAUAAAGCCAUGAUAGUGAAAAAUAUUUUCCAGUCAGUGCUUUUUGGAAGCUAUUUAGUAGAUAUUAAUUUGAUGGGUUAGAGAUUGCUAUUAUCCCAUUAAAUGAAGCUGUUUCUACUUCAUAUUCAAAUAUAUUUCAAGUUGAACUUGCUUAAAUCUAAAAUGCUUACACAAGCAAACUGUGGAAAGAAUUUAGUCACGCAAAAGAAAACUUUUUCUUAAUCCUGGAUAAGUCAACUCUAAGAAAGCUGUCCAGAGCCUACAGAGCAAAAAGGACUUUCCUUCCAGCCUCCUCACCAUGUCCAAUCUAGUCCAGAUGUGAAGAGUCAAUUUUGGUUUUAAACAAAAUUUGCAUGCAGCAGCAUUAGAACUAAUGAAAACAGUAUCCAGACUAAGACGUGCAUACAAAAUCUUUCACAUCAUGAGAAACUAAAAAUUUGUUAAAACAUCAGUCGGCAGGAACAGACAUCUCAAGCUCCACUGAUAAGGGAAGCAAAACUGGAACUACAUGCCGCUUUUAAAAGUGUCUCAAAUUUAAGCUCACUCAAGGACUAUUAAUAGACAGUGUCAAACUGACAUGCCGUUUCAUCAUUAAAUCAUCUUAUUGGUUUGCAAGUUUCCAAGCCUCAGGGCUUCAUUAUGCAUCAGCAUAGGACAACACCAGAAUUUGGGGACAAAGACAACAUCCCUUUUUGAAAGAGGUGGUAAGAAUAAAAACAGGUUGGCCAACCUUGGAAGCCACCGCAGUAUGGCUUCCCAUGAACCAAAAAGGCAAUUGAAUUGUAUUUGUUUUCAAGGCAUACGUUUGGAAAAAUAGCACUUUUUCCAAGCAUGUGCUUAGUUAGAACAAAUGAUUUAUUGCUUAAAACCCAGUCUUUUACUCACACGCUUGUGAAAAUAAGAAGAAAUUACCUAUUUCACCAUAGAUUAUUAAAUGGACGUUAACAGUUAUUGACAAUCGAGUCUUGUGAUAAGAAAUUAAAAUUAUAAAGUAAAUCUUCCCGUCUUUAAAUUCUAGGUGGUAGAGUUCUGAGAACACUUACAAUGAACUUUAAGGGAGUAAUUGAUUAUGCUUUUGAAGUCUCCUAUAUUCACAUAUUGGCUGAAAGUAAAGCAUUUUAAAAUUGGAGAAUGAAAUGAAGAGCAAUAACAUUUGUUAUAUGAAAACUGUGGUUUUACUUUUAAAAUGGGAUUUUAAAAAUGUAUUAGUUGGGUCGGGUGUGGUGGUUCACACCUGUAAUCCCAGCACUUUGGGAGGCCAAGGCGGGUGCAUCACCUGAGGUCAGGAGUUUGAGACCAGCCUGGCCAACAUGGUGAAACCCUGUCUCUACUAAAAAUACAAAAAUUAGCUAGGUGUGGUGGCACACGCAUGGGAUCCCAGCUACUCGGGAGGCUGAGGCAGGAGAAUCGCUUGAACCCGGAAGACAGAGGUUGCAGUGAGCCGAGAUCGUGCCAUUGCACUCCAGCCUGGGCAAUGAAGCAAGACUCCAUCUCAAAAACAACAACAACAACAACAACAACAAAUGUAUGAGUUGGAUGAGUUUAAUUUUUUGCUUUCUGUUUCUGCCUAAAGAUAAACCAAUUUAGCAUAUAUUGAUAUUAAGAUGUCUGCCAUAUUUUGAACGUUAGCCUGUUGAUUUACAGUCUUCCAAAUAAGACUGAUGCCUGAAGCUCAUUUUUUGGUUAACUGCUUCUGUUAGUUGCACACCUUUUCCUACCUUCCUCUAAUCUUAAGUCUAUUUAGUCAUUUGAAAUAUCAGUUUUCACCUGUUAGUAUUACUAGCUAUGUUUGCUAUAUUUCACAAAUACAUUUCUAAAACAAUCCAUUAAUUAGAAUUGGACAUUAAUAGUGAGGCAUGUCAUUCUCUGUAACAACUAAGAUUUUAAGUAGAAAUUAUUUCACUAAUUCAUCUUUUAUUUCUCAAAGUAUUCAAGGCUAAAAUUUGGAGUUCUUUAAUUUUCAUUCUAAGAGGCAAGUAUUAAUUAUACUAAUGAGUUCAGAUGUUUUUAUUUAUUUUUCCUCCCAAUGACCUAUUCUUAAUGAACAUGGUAUUAUUAAGAGACAUUCCAGUGAAUCAUCUCCUGUAUUUUUUUACAUGCAUAAAUUAUAUUCCCUAAGGCCAGACUCUUAAACAGACAGAUGAACCUAAUAGUCUCAACAAUGAUUUAAAAACUGGCCCUCAAUUUUCUUCAUUCAUUCCUGAUCUCGUGGAGUUGUGGUCCUUUACUUGGUUUUAACACAGUAUUCAACAAAUUGUUGUUAUAGUUGAUAACAUCUACUCAUUCUUUUACCUGCCUUAAAAAGUGUAAUAAAAGUAUUCAUACAAAGUAUAAAAUACAUACAAGUAUAAAAAUGUAUAAUACAUUUAAUUUACAUGCAUCUCUACAAUGACAAGUAUGAUUUCUUUAGAAACUGAUGCAUACAUUUUCACUGUUUUUCUUUCAUUAUAUAUCAGUUUUAAUGCAUACUACUUAGAAAUUAGAAUCAUUUUGAGUUUCUUGAAGAGCCUUGAUAAUUAUAGUCUCAAAAUUAAGGAACCUAGACAAACAAAGUUAAAAUAUUUAUGACAUUUUGCUUGGGCAUACAUUCAUAUUUCCAUUAAUAUAUAAUUGCUACAUUAUUAAUAAGUGACAUAUUUAUUAUAAUGAAACACCUCCACGAAUUUAGUGAAUUGUAAUUCUUAUCUCUUCCUCUGAAGUAUUAUACUUAGAAAUACGUAUCUUCAGUUACUGAUUUGGGUACGACAGGGAACCUGGCUGGAUAUCAUUAUUAUUUGAUAUAUGCCAUAUAACCUUCUGUUUGGGGAAUAUAAAAUCCCUCAAAUUGGAAAUGUUCAUGACUACCCAUGGGAUAAAUCCAGCUGUUUUUGUUUGGGGUCCAGAGCAUAAAAACAGAAAAGGAAAAAUGCAGCUUCCCAACAGACCACUACCAAACCACCAUAACAGACAGUCUGCUAGAAGAGAACUGAUCAGGCCAUUAUGUCACCGGACAACAGGACAAUCAUCUGAGUUGGGAUGCUGAAUCACGGCAACUCCAAGACAUCUGGGAUUUUUUUUUUACCCUCACAUUGGAUACAAUCUAUGGAAUAUUACUACAUUUAGUUCAUUUGUAAUUUACAAUUUUUGAUGACUAAAAUUGGAAAAGGAUUAGUACAUUCCUACUGGCUUUACAUAUUAGUAUUGGGCUGUCACCAUUACCCAGAUUAUUUAAAAUGUAAAUUUUCUUUACUCACUAGAUUGGAAGCUCCUUAAGAGCAAGGGCUACUUCUGUAUUAUUCAUCUUCAUGCCACGUCACUUAGAACCUAGUAGAUACUCAAUAAAUACCUAUUGAGCUGAACUGACCUUGUCUGAGUAAAAGUGAGUCCAAUACACAAGUUACUAGAUUGUAGGUUGGUUUGACACAAACUUAAUUUUGAAACUAAAAAUGAACUAAAGACACACUGCCUGAGAGAAGCAGGCUCUCUAUCCCUGUAUUCCUAUUCUCACGAAUAUAGGUAAACUAAGUUUCCAUUAAGCACAGUAUCUAAAGAUGCUGACACAUCUGCUAGUUUAAUCUCUUUGAAUUGCCUUUCAUGUAUGACCUAAUGUUUAGAAAAUGACAAGGAUCACACAUGUAGAGUGACAUCCCUGAUUAACAGUGAUGAGCAGAGGCCUCAGACCCAGGGGAAGCAGAGAACAUACAUAUUUAGUCCAUAUCACCAAGGCAACACAGUGUACCUCAGCACAGUAGAAAAACAAGCACAGAUGUUGAUGUUGAAUAUUUAAAAAGUGUUCCUUACACCCACUGUAACAGUGGUUAGACACAAAGAUGAAUUAUUUCAAAAACCAAGCUAUUAAAAGUUUUUACUUCUCUAAUGUAUGUAUAUGUGUGCUUUGUUUUUCAUUGCUAAUACUCCAUAGGCAGUCUUGGUCAAAAAACAUUCUCUUAGCAACAAAAAUAAAGGUUCAAAGUUUGAUUCUGACAUAAAUGACUUGUAUAUUCUUUUUAAGAACAUAAGGAGCUACAGGCCUCAAAUAGGGUGCCUCCUCCCCCAAAUAGGGAGACAUCUGAAUUUGAAGCCAGUAAGUCAGCAAAAAAUUAAACUAUCUGUUGAAGAAACCCCCCUGGGAGAUGACUUACAAAUGAGUUCCUGAUGAGACUAUUUAUACUUUCGUGGACCAGGAAUAAAUAAUAUGGAUAUACAGGAGGCAUAAAAACAAGUUAAUGACUUCACAGUGAUACAAUCAACAAAAUCCAGAAUAUGUGUGGAAACUUUAAAGACAAAACAACUAGAUUUCUUAAAUAAUUUAAGGGGGAAAAGAAAAGGUAACUUAUAAAUUAAACAGACUUCAAUAAAUAACAACCAAAUGCAAUGUAUGAACCUUGUGUGGUACCUAUUUCAAGCAAACCAACAGUUAAAGAGAAUUAACAGUCUAGACAGUUGAUCAUAUUAAGAAACAGUUCAACUUUUUAGGUGUGAUAAUGGUAUUGUGGGGUUUUUCUAAUUUUUAAAGAUACACACUAAAGUAGUUAUGACGCCAGGCAUGGUGACUCAUGCCUAUAAUCCCAGCACUUUGGGAGGCUGAUCACUUGAGGCCAGGAGUUCAAGACCAGCCUGGCCAACUAUAAAAUAUAUAAAAAUUAGCUGGGCACGGUGGCUCAUGCCUGUAAUCCCAGCACUUUGGGAGGCAGAGGGGGACGGAUCACUUGAGGCCAAGAGUUCAAGACCAGUCUGGCCAACAUAGCGAAACCCCAUCUCUACCAAAAAUACAAAAUUAGCCGGGCAUGGUGGCACGUGCCUGUAAUCCCAGCUACUCAGGAGGCUGAGGCACAAGAAUCGCUUGAACCCGGGAGGUGGAGGUUACAGUGAGCCAAGAUCGUACCACUGCACUCCAGCCUGGGCAACAGAGCAAGACCCUGUUUCAAAAAAAAAAAAAAAAGAAUAAAGUAGUUAUGGAUGAAAUGAUAGGAUGUCUGGGAUUUGCUUCAAAAUAAUUGGGGGGUGGGGAGAAAUAAUUGAGGUAUAGAUGAAAUAAGACUGACCAUAAACUGAAACUGGGUGAUGGAUAUGGAGAGGUCCAUUAUACUAUUCUCCAGACUUCUUAAUAUGUUUAGAAUUUUCCAUUGAAGUUUUUUUUAAAAAAACAAUCAACAAAACACACACACACACACACACACACAUACACACACACACACACACACACACACGAGAAUGAGCACUGCUGGGUCCCCUGGAGUAAUAGAAUAAAAUUCCUAGUCUAGUUUCUAGCCCCAUUUAACUAGACAGUUUCUCUAGAGGUCUACCAUAAAAUGGCAAUCCAUUGACCAAGUCCUGCUCUUCACUCUUAUAUCAUUAGCCUAAGAAAGGACAUUAGUUGUAUGAGUUUGCUUACUUACCAGAUACCUUUUAAUGUCCAAGUUUGCUACCCAAUUUUAACUUGAGUUUAAGAAAACUUAAAAUAAUUUCUGAAGCUAAC